UAAAAAAAUUGUUAAAAAAUAAAAUACAGUUGAGAUGUUGCAUCAUGGAAGGAAUGAUGGAGCCAGGGAGAGGGUAGUUGGCUAGAGAGUUUGGACUUUGUAGAGGGGGUGGUUGCAAAUUGCAAAUUCAUUUUAUAUAAAAAAAUCGUGUUGUUACAAAAAAAAAAAGAAUAUAAAAUAUUCAUAAAUUGAAUAGGUAAGGAUUUAUAUAACUAUAAAUAAGUACAGAUUUAACCCCAAAAUUAUCACGACUCUAACCCGUUAUUCACAGCUCCACCAAAGUCAACUCCAACACAGAAGCUGCUAUGUCUGACUCUGAUGUGGAAGAGGAAAGAAAGACCCCACAAAAUAUAGUCGAAGAAGAUGACAUUGAAGCUGCGUCUUAUGCCAAUGGACACUACUCUAUUCCGCAUUGCAUCCAAAUCCUGCAAAAUCUAAAGCGUCUAAAGGACGAAUACUACAAUCCACUACUGAGUGAAGACCAAUUUGGCUAUGCGGUAGAAUUGGUUAAAUAUAGCAAAAAUAGAGUCAUACUUGUUUCCUUAAAAGAUUGCAUGAAAGAUUUGGCACUUUGGAUUGAACACAAAUAUGAAAAUAAACGGACACCUCUAGUAUAUUACUAAAGUCUUGUAAACCUCUAGUAUUUAUGUUAAUGUUUGUGAGAGUUUCACUCUUACACUCUUUGAAACCAAACCCCCCUCCCCCUCCUAUUGUAAUGAAUUUGUAUUUGCAUUUUAUGAUUAUUUCCCCUUUCGAUUUGUUCUGUCAA
Long non-coding RNA from Trifolium pratense (red clover), 769 nucleotides. RefSeq lists it as uncharacterized. NCBI's taxonomy places the organism in Eukaryota, Viridiplantae, Streptophyta, Magnoliopsida, Fabales, Fabaceae. The record is from RefSeq and is a predicted model, not a curated record. The transcript has 2 exons.